UGGGGAAUCUUGGACAAUGGGGGAAACCCUGAUCCAGCCAUGCCGCGUGAGUGAAGAAGGCCUUAGGGUUGUAAAGCUCUUUCGCACGUGACGAUGAUGACGGUAACGUGAGAAGAAGCCCCGGCUAACUUCGUGCCAGCAGCCGCGGUAAUACGAAGGGGGCUAGCGUUGUUCGGAAUUACUGGGCGUAAAGCGCGCGUAGGCGGUUUUGUAAGUCAGGGGUGAAAUCCCGGGGCUCAACCCUGGAACUGCCUUUGAGACUGCAAGGCUUGAGAGCGGGAGAGGUGAGUGGAAUUCCCAGUGUAGAGGUGAAAUUCGUAGAUAUUGGGAAGAACACCGGUGGCGAAGGCGGCUCACUGGCCCGUUUCUGACGCUGAGGCGCGAAAGCGUGGGGAGCAAACAGG
This 404-nucleotide ribosomal RNA is filed under the name uncultured bacterium. RNAcentral's name for it is "bacterial SSU rRNA". It matches the Rfam family "Bacterial small subunit ribosomal RNA", at positions 355 to 776 of the family's 1533-position model. The record is from RNAcentral.